AAAAAUAUCAAAGAUGCGAAAAUUUGAGUGACGAAGAGAAUUUACAAGUAAUUCGUGAUAUAUUGCACAGAACGUUAGCCCCAAAACCCCAGUCGAUUGUCCAGCGCCCCGUUCCCUUUAGGAAAAUAGGCAAACUCGAUUUUACCACACCGAAUUUGGAGAGGAAAGUAGAACCGACAAAACUUAAGCUUACAGAUAAGAUUGUCAAGACCGCAAGAGACCUUAAAGGUCCGAAAAAACCAUCACAAGAAACCAAAGAUCAAGAACAGUCGUUGGGCAGGAGCUUGUCGAAAAUCCUGAACGAUUCCACAAACGCUACCCAAACGAAAUCCGGCGCCCUUAUUAAAUUGAAAAAGUGCAUUCAAGAUGAAACCACAACUUGUACAAGGCUCAAAGAAUUAUUAGGGGAAACACUGUUGAAAAUCGACGAAAAAUCUAGACUGUUGUUUGAAAAGAACGAACAAUUUUUGAAAACGCCCGCAAGCUGUUGUAACACCAAGGGUAAGACGUGUACCCAUUUAAGAGAAGUGCUCAAUGAAUAUUUGUUUCAACGUAACAUAGUCGUGGAAAACAA
Molecule: long non-coding RNA, 574 nt
Organism: Aethina tumida (small hive beetle)
Lineage: Eukaryota; Metazoa; Arthropoda; Insecta; Coleoptera; Nitidulidae
Exons: 3
Source: RefSeq, a predicted model, not a curated record